Molecule: ribosomal RNA, 253 nt
Filed under: uncultured bacterium
Lineage: Bacteria
Description: partial 16S ribosomal RNA
Rfam family: Bacterial small subunit ribosomal RNA
Source: RNAcentral
UACGUAGGGGGCAAGCGUUGUCCGGAAUCAUUGGGCGUAAAGCGCGUGUAGGCGGCCCGGUAAGUCCGCUGUGAAAGUCGGGGGCUCAACCCUCGGAUGCCGGUGGAUACUGUCGGGCUCGAGUGCGGAAGAGGCGAGUGGAAUUCCUGGUGUAGCGGUGAAAUGCGCAGAUAUCAGGAGGAACACCAAUUGCGAAGGCAGCUCGCUGGGACGUUACUGACGCUGAGACGCGAAAGCGUGGGGAGCAAACAGG